UACGUAGGUGGCAAGCGUUAUCCGGAAUUAUUGGGCGUAAAGAGCGCGCAGGUGGUUGAUUAAGUCUGAUGUGAAAGCCCACGGCUUAACCGUGGAGGGUCAUUGGAAACUGGUCGACUUGAGUGCAGAAGAGGGAAGUGGAAUUCCAUGUGUAGCGGUGAAAUGCGUAGAGAUAUGGAGGAACACCAGUGGCGAAGGCGGCUUCCAGGUCUGUAACUGACACUGAGGCGCGAAAGCGUGGGUAGCAAACAGGAUUAGAUA
This 261-nucleotide ribosomal RNA is filed under the name uncultured prokaryote. RNAcentral's name for it is "partial 16S ribosomal RNA". It matches the Rfam family "Bacterial small subunit ribosomal RNA", at positions 524 to 784 of the family's 1533-position model. The record is from RNAcentral.